Molecule: ribosomal RNA, 494 nt
Filed under: uncultured bacterium
Lineage: Bacteria
Description: partial 16S ribosomal RNA
Rfam family: Bacterial small subunit ribosomal RNA
Source: RNAcentral
GACGAACGCUGGCGGCGUGCUUAACACAUGCAAGUCGAACGGUGAAGCGCCUUCCUUUUUGGUGGGUGUGGAUGAGUGGCGAACGGGUGAGUAACACGUGAGUAACCUGCCCCCUUCUUCUGGAUAACCGCAUGAAAGUGUGGCUAAUACGGGAUAUUCUGGGUCUGUCGCAUGAUGGGUCUGGGAAAGAUAUUGUUUCGGUGGGGGAUGGGCUCGCGGCCUAUCAGCUUGUUGGUGGGGUGAUGGCCUACCAAGGCGGUGACGGGUAGCCGGCCUGAGAGGGUGGACGGUCACACUGGGACUGAGACACGGCCCAGACUCCUACGGGAGGCAGCAGUGGGGAAUAUUGCACAAUGGGCGCAAGCCUGAUGCAGCGACGCCGCGUGAGGGAUGGAGGCCUUCGGGUUGUGAACCUCUCUCGCCAGUGAAGCAGGCCUGCCUCGUUUGUGGGUGGGUUGACGGUAGCUGGAUAAGAAGCGCCGGCUAACUACGUG